AUUACCUGAAAAGGACAAAUAAGAAGAAUGAGCUAACAAGCUUAUUGUGUAAUUAAACCCAAACAAAAAAAAACACAAAAAAACAAAAUAACCUAUCAAACAUUGCAAGGAAUCUCAUCAAACUCGUAUGGAAAAAUCGUGCAUGCAUGAUUAUGUCAGUGCAAUACUUUCAGAAAAUAAAAUGCAAAUUUUUCAAAGAACUUCCUACCCAACUUUGCUACACAC
RNAcentral lists this long non-coding RNA (225 nucleotides) under Gossypium raimondii (Peruvian cotton). RNAcentral describes it as "long non-coding RNA (GRAI_LNC004790)". The record is from RNAcentral. Lineage: Eukaryota; Viridiplantae; Streptophyta; Magnoliopsida; Malvales; Malvaceae.